AUUGAACGCCGGCGGCAGGCCUAACACAUGCAAGUCGAGCGGCAGCGGAAAGUAGCUUGCUACUUUGCCGGCGAGCGGCGGACGGGUGAGUAAUGUCUGGGAAACUGCCUGAUGGAGGGGGAUAACUACUGGAAACGGUAGCUAAUACCGCAUAACGUCGCAAGACCAAAGAGGGGGACCUUCGGGCCUCUUGCCAUCAGAUGUGCCCAGAUGGGAUUAGCUAGUAGGUGGGGUAAUGGCUCACCUAGGCGACGAUCCCUAGCUGGUCUGAGAGGAUGACCAGCCACACUGGAACUGAGACACGGUCCAGACUCCUACGGGAGGCAGCAGUAGGGAAUAUUGCACAAUGGGCGCAAGCCUGAUGCAGCCAUGCCGCGUGUAUGAAGAAGGCCUUCGGGUUGUAAAGUACUUUCAGCGGGGAGGAAGGUGUUGAGGUUAAUAACCUCAGCAAUUGACGUUACCCGCAGAAGAAGCACCGGCUAACUCCGUGCCAGCCGCCGCGGUAA
RNAcentral lists this ribosomal RNA (506 nucleotides) under uncultured bacterium. RNAcentral's name for it is "partial 16S ribosomal RNA". It matches the Rfam family "Bacterial small subunit ribosomal RNA", at positions 30 to 523 of the family's 1533-position model. The record is from RNAcentral.